Molecule: ribosomal RNA, 435 nt
Filed under: uncultured bacterium
Lineage: Bacteria
Description: partial 16S ribosomal RNA
Rfam family: Bacterial small subunit ribosomal RNA
Source: RNAcentral
AGCGAACGCUGGCGGCAGGCCUAACACAUGCAAGUCGAACGAACCUUUCGGGGUUAGUGGCGGACGGGUGAGUAACACGUGGGAACGUGCCUUUAGGUUCGGAAUAACUCAGGGAAACUUGUGCUAAUACCGAAUGUGCCCUUCGGGGGAAAGAUUUAUCGCCUUUAGAGCGGCCCGCGUCUGAUUAGCUAGUUGGUUGAGGUAAUGGCUCACCAAGGCGAUGAUCAGUAGCUGGUCUGAGAGGAUGAUCAGCCACAUUGGGACUGAGACACGGCCCAAACGCCUACGGGAGGCAGCAGUGGGGAAUCUUGCGCAAGGGGCGAAAGCCUGACGCAGCCAUUCCGCGUGAAUGAUGAAGGUCUUAGGAUUGUAAAAUUCUUUCACCGGGGACGAUAAUGACGGUACCCGGAGAAGAAGCCCCGGCUAACUUCGGGC